This is an RNA transcript of Zingiber officinale, 1679 nucleotides long. It is a transcript of the gene named poly(A)-specific ribonuclease PARN-like, with no coding region annotated. NCBI's taxonomy places the organism in Eukaryota, Viridiplantae, Streptophyta, Magnoliopsida, Zingiberales, Zingiberaceae. The transcript has 3 exons. The record is from RefSeq and is a predicted model, not a curated record.
GGAGUGGUCGUGGCAAGUUAAGACAUGCGGAAUCUGCCAUUUGUUUGGGUGCGCCACCGAACCGUAACCCUAGGUCUGCUACCUCGCCUUCGUCCCUUCUCCACCGAUGCGCCCGGUGGUGGCAGCGUGGCCGUGAAGCAGGUGACGAGGUCUAAUUUCAACGCGGCGCUGGAGGGCCUUAGGGCCUACGUGGAGGAGUCGGACUUCGUGGCCGUUGACCUUGAGAUGACCGGCGUGACGAGUGCCCCAUGGAGGGACUCGUUCGAGUUCGACCGAUCCGAUGUCCGUUACCUUAAGCUGAAGGACUCCGCUGAGAAGUUCGCUGCCGUGCAGUUCGGUGUCUGACCCUUCCUCUGCGAGUCAUCCAAGGGCUCCUUCUUCGCCCAUCCGUUAAUGUUCUUCAUCAUUUGGCUUUCGUUUUGUUAUGAUAGGGUUUAACGUGGUUUUAGAGAAAAUGGAAGUGAUGAAUUGACUUCUCUAUCGGUUUUUAUUUUUGUGGGGGAAAAAUGAUCUUUACCUCAUUCUCCUGUUCAAAUUGAAUGCCUUGUUUAGGAUAUUCUUUCAUGUUUUCUCCCUCUGGAAGCGAGGCCUGCUUGUGAUAACGAUUAAAAACUGUUCAUAUGUCAAGCAGAUGAGAUUCAUGACUGAUUUUUGCGUGGUUUUACCUUAUCACUUCUUUUGACGGAUAUCCAAUUUAUGUUUGAUGAGAUGGUGGUAAUUUACUGAUUCAGGACUAUUCGUUUGAUAUUUUUGGGAUAAUUUAUCAGUCAUACUUGCUUGUUCUGUGGGACAGUUCUCGACAGACAUUGGUAGGUAAUUGUAGACGAAAUUUGUGUUAGAUCACCUAGUUAUUAAUAUAAGAUUCUGUAUGAUUUCAUGUUUGUAGAAUUUUGUUGGAUUUCGUGUGACAUCUGCAGCUCUUUACAUUGCAGGCAUAACUUCUAUAUCUUUCCACGGAAAGAGUUGUCACUUCAUGGGCCACCUGAUGAUUUCCUAUGGCAAGCAACAUCCAUCGACUUCCUUGCUAAAUACCAAUUUGACUUCAAUGCAUGCAUAUAUGAAGAGAACAAGAAGGAGAAGCCCUCAAAGGUUUAUCUUCAGAGUACCUUGAGGGAUUAGCUAAUUCCUUUUGUAAUUUUGAGGAGCCUGUGGAUAUACCAAUUGUGAGAACAUCUGACAUUUUUUUUUCGGAGAGGAUGAAGAACAAGCUUCAUAAAUGGCAUGAUUCUAUACUUAGAAGUCUUGACAAAACUUACAUUGACAAAGAAGAUGCUGGUAUCAACAACGCACUAUUUCAAACAGUUUUCUUUAAGAUGCGUCCUGCUAUCAUGCUAAAUGGGUUUACCUCCCACCAGCUGAAGUUGAUUCAACUGAUUUUCUCAACAAAAUUGGUUGGUUCAUUAAUCUGUACAAGAGAAGCAAUUUAUCUUAUGAAAUUUGAAGACAGAGGGCAAAAAGAAGGAAUUGAAGGCAUGCUAUUAGCUCGAGGAUGGAGGAAUAAAUUAUUGAAAGGAAAAAAAAAACUUGUUAUUACAGAAAGUAGGUAGAGGGAAGAAAAUCGUAUUGAGGAAGGUAGGCAAAGAGAAGAAAAACUCAAGGGGAUGAUUCAGAAAUGAUUCAAGAAAUGAAAUAUAUAAAUCAUUUAUAUCUUGGAGAAUUUGGUCUUUAUAGUUUGAUUA